Molecule: long non-coding RNA, 427 nt
Organism: Bos taurus (domestic cattle)
Lineage: Eukaryota; Metazoa; Chordata; Mammalia; Artiodactyla; Bovidae
Source: Ensembl
AGGGUGGAAAAGGCAAAGGGCUCAGUCCUGGAGCACAGAGCUCGAGAUCUGGAGAAGCAGAGAGACCAGACUGACCACAACUGGCAGAUUGAGAGCGAGUGCCAAGAAGUGAAACCAAGAAGUCUGGGGCCAAGAAGUCAUCCCAGGCAGGCUACUUCUUCAUGAGUCUACCCAUCUCUCACUCUGGGCAGCCAGCACAGCCUAAGCAAAGCCGACAAGUGUGAUGAAACCUACUUCCUACCCUUUGAUUGCGCUGGAUGGCUAACCAAAAGACCAGGACUCUGGUCUCAACCCUGCCAUUGACUCACGGGGUAUCUGGGGCUUGGGUAAGGCUGCUUACAUCUACAGACCUGUUUCUUCAUCUGAUAAAUGAAGUGGUUGGGCAGUUGAUUGAUUGACUUGGAACCUCAUGUCAAGGCUAAGUGAG